RNAcentral lists this ribosomal RNA (266 nucleotides) under Campylobacter jejuni subsp. jejuni. RNAcentral describes it as "partial 23S ribosomal RNA". It matches the Rfam family "Bacterial large subunit ribosomal RNA", at positions 672 to 935 of the family's 2925-position model. Lineage: Bacteria; Pseudomonadati; Campylobacterota; Epsilonproteobacteria; Campylobacterales; Campylobacteraceae. The record is from RNAcentral.
GCGAAAGCGAGUCUGAAUAGGGCGCUUAGUCGGAUGCGGCAGACCCGAAACGAAGUGAUCUAUCCAUGAGCAAGUUGAAGCUAGUGUAAGAACUAGUGGAGGACUGAACCCAUAGGCGUUGAAAAGCCCCGGGAUGACUUGUGGAUAGGGGUGAAAGGCCAAUCAAACUUCGUGAUAGCUGGUUCUCUCCGAAAUAUAUUUAGGUAUAGCGUUGUGUCGUAAUAUAAGGGGGUAGAGCACUGAAUGGGCUAGGGCAUACACYGUUA